Molecule: ribosomal RNA, 301 nt
Filed under: uncultured bacterium
Lineage: Bacteria
Description: partial 16S ribosomal RNA
Rfam family: Archaeal small subunit ribosomal RNA
Source: RNAcentral
CAGUCGCCGCGGUAAUACCAGCAGCCCAAGUGGUGGUCGCGUUUAUUGGGCCUAAAGCGCUCGUAGCCUGGCCGGUAAGUUCCCCGUGAAAUCGGGUCGCCCAACGAUUCGGCUUGCGGGGAAUACUGUCGGUCUUGGGGCCGGGAGACGCCGAGGGUACUCCGGGGGUAGCGGUGAAAUGCUGUAAUCCUCGGGGGACUACCAGUGGCGAAGGCGCUCGGCGAUAACGGGCCUGACGGUGAGGGGCGAAAGCUGGGGGCGCGAACGGGAUUAGAUACCCCAGUAGUCCCUGUCUCUUAUA